Camellia sinensis is the source of this 1657-nucleotide non-coding RNA. Lineage: Eukaryota; Viridiplantae; Streptophyta; Magnoliopsida; Ericales; Theaceae. The record is from RefSeq and is a predicted model, not a curated record.
ACCUUCACUUAGGCUUUUUUUGGGGACGUGGUUUGUAGCUGCGUUUGGGUGUUUGAUGAAAUAGCCAAACGUGGCGUUUUUGUUCUAAAACCCAUUUGGAAAGCUGGAUAAACGCCAUAUUGCAAUUUACGAUUAUACCCUCCAUUCACUUAGGGUUUGCUGAGACUAAACACUUCACCAUUUCGCAUCUCACGGCUCUUGUUCUUUUCUCUCUCUCAAAUCGUGUUCGCACUGCUACUGUGGACGCCGCAGAAAACUCGUUUCUAGCGUCGGCCAUUGACAUCGCCACCGACUUCCCUCUACCAGGUCGUCUUCCUCGGUUGAAGUACACAAUCAUGAAUUUCUUGUGAUCAGGCAAGGUAGCUUUUUCACCACCACUUGCGUGCCAGGCAGGUUUAAUCUUUAACAAUUGUAUUCAAAAACCCGUGGCACUGCCUCCGUUCAGGAUAGCGGAGAUUCGAGCUGCCAUUCCUUGCCAUUGCUGGGUCAAGAACCCAUGGCGAUCUAUCAGUUAUGUAAUUAGGGAUGUUAUUAUGGUUUUUGGAUUAGCUGCAUUGGCAAAUUUCUUUGAAAGUUGGGUUGUUUGGCCUUUUUAUUGGCCUGCCCCGGGGACCAUGUUUUGGGCACUGCUUGUUCUUGGUCAUGAUUGUGGCCACGGAAGCUUUUCCGAUGACUCUUUGUUGAACAGUGUUGUUGGACAUCCCCUGCAUUCGUCAAUUCUUGUGCCUUAUCAUGGAUGGAGAAUUAGCCACAGAACUCACCAUCAGAAUCAUGGACAUGUGGAAAAUGAUGAAUCAUGGGUACUGUUUUUAGAACGACUUUAAACAGUAAAUUGGGGCAUCGUUGACGGAACACAAAGACUCCGAUUGUCGUUGUCUCUGGCUCUAAAAGUAGUCCACUAUCAUGACUUGGCAGUUUGGAAGAAGUCCAUGGGAGAGAGAGAGGGAGAGGGGGAGAGAGAUGAAGGUCAAGAUCAUCAGACCCCUUUGGUUGAUUCUUCCAUCGACAAAACUGAUUGAUGUUUACUCAUUUGGGAUUGUCAUGUGGGAAUUGCUCACAGGAGACAAACCUUAUGCGAAUAUGCAUGGUGCUUCUAUAAUAGGGAUGAAUCACUGCUAUGUCAAGGACUUGCACUGAAUGAUGACUCGCAGGGACUACUAGCCAAACAUGAAUCUAUUGUCUCAGGAAUUUCUGCGAAAACAGAGAAACCGAAGCCUGGACCUGUUCAAGCACUAGUGAAUCUGGAUGCUCCUCUAAUUUAUAUUCUUUGCAGUAUUUGUGUUGGCUAAUAUCCCUGAUACAUCAGUUAUUGUUGGAAUUGGUCUUCUGAAAAUUAUAUUGGGUAUGGUUCAUAGAUAUCAAAACAUUAGUGUUUAUGUUUUGCACAAUUUUUUUAGAAAGCCAAUGGCUAGACAAUUGGGAAAUUAGAAUUAACUUUGGAAGACUUAUGCAAUGGAUAUCUAGAACUUGAGUGAGUUUAUUCUCAUUCUAGAACAGAUGCUUUGACUUUCUAUUUUGUUGAAUUAGUGGGGUUCUUUCCAAGGAUUUUGUAUUUUUCUGUUGCUGUAUUCUGGAACUUACAUUCUACAGGAGAGAGAGUCAAUUUUUGUUUUAAGACAAUUCUAAUUGCCUUCUAUAUUAGAUUGUUGUUGGAUGA